AAUCACUGUUCUCAAGGUCCGAGCCCUGCUGGUUUUCCAGCCUUCCUUUACCUGUGAGCAAGGUGUGAAGCCUCUGGCCAAUCACAAUCAGUAAUUAUUAAAAUAACCACCUGGGAUUUGGGAUCGAGAUCCGGAUUCGAACAGCCCUGUGAUAUAGAGCACAACCUAAUGUGCCACACUGUUCUAAUCAGCAGACAUAAAAGAGGCCCUAGGCCCUAUUUUUCACCUCCUCCAAUUCCUCCCUGCCGUAUUACUUCAUGCAAUCAAAGUGGUGUCUAUAGAAACCGAUAAUAAUUUAGAUAAAAAUAAUUACGCUUAAGAUAAUGCCAUGAAUUAGUGUAAUUAUGAUAUAUGAUACGUAGAAGAUUGGUUGAUAUGCAGUUGACCACAUUUUCACUAAUAUGUAGGGGAAUCCAAAGGUGACAGAUGAGCAUCAGUUAAGCACUAACUGCAGGCAAAAAUGUAGAUCAUGGUGUGUGGAGUAAAUGAAAUAUAUUUGUAUGUAGGGUAUUUAUACAGUAGGUUUAAAUACAGAAGCUGGCGAUACUGAUAAUUACUCAAAAGUACACAGGGGCUUUAUUUCAAGUGCCCCCAUAGUUAUAUCUAUAUUUGACAGAUGUUCACAGUUUUACACAUAUUCUCUUGGUUAUAAAAUAUGCCAUGGUUUCCCUGCAAACCUUUACACAGGAAAUAGCUACUGGCCUGCUGACUGAUGUAACUCUCCCUCUUUGUAGAGCCCUUUUAAAGUAUUGUCACUCAUGUAUUUUGAUUUCCUAUUUUCGCCAAUAUCUGAUGUCGUGUGAUUUAAUUGUUUUAAGUUCUUUCUUUCUCAACACCUUCUACCUGGAACACACUGCAUCAUCACACAGUGAGCUGAUGUCCAGGACUCUGUCUGAGUUGAAUGUGAAGUGAAUCACCUUUCACCUUAUAAGUAACAGCUCUGGCUUCCAGCGGAUAUUGUUGCAGGUUAAUUUGGGCCCCCAAGAGCCUUGUGCGAUGAACGUGUUCCUCCUGAGAGAUGAAGGUUCAUCUCACUUCAUGUUGUUGACUGAGUCUCAGAUAUGUUUCUGAAGGUGGUGAGAACUUCAGUCUGAACCACAGAAUAAUGAAGGUGGCCACAACUUCAGACUCCAUCCAUCCAUCCAUCAUCUAUACCGCUUUAUCCAUCUGGGUCGUGGG
Molecule: long non-coding RNA, 1179 nt
Organism: Paramormyrops kingsleyae
Lineage: Eukaryota; Metazoa; Chordata; Actinopteri; Osteoglossiformes; Mormyridae
Source: RefSeq, a predicted model, not a curated record